This 413-nucleotide ribosomal RNA is filed under the name uncultured microorganism. Its description in RNAcentral is "bacterial SSU rRNA". It matches the Rfam family "Archaeal small subunit ribosomal RNA", at positions 330 to 745 of the family's 1478-position model. The record is from RNAcentral.
GCGCAGCAGUCGAGAAUCCUCCGCAAUGCGGGAAACCGUGACGGGGUCACCCCGAGUGCCACCCGAUGAGGGUGGCUUUUCCCCGGUCUAAAAAGCCGGGGGCAAUAAGCGGGGGCAAGUCUGGUGUCAGCCGCCGCGGUAAUACCAGCCCCGCGAGUGGUCGGGACGUUUAUUGGGCCUAAAGCGUCCGUAGCCGGCUCGGCAAGUCCCUCCUUAAAUCCACGGGCUCAACCCGUGGGCUGGGAGGGAUACUGCCGGGCUAGGGGGCGGGAGAGGCCGAGGGUACUCCCGGGGUAGGGGCGAAAUCCGUUAAUCCCGGGAGGACCACCAGUGGCGAAGGCGCUCGGCUGGAACGCGCCCGACGGUGAGGGACGAAAGCUAGGGGAGCAAAGGGGAUUAGAUACCCGCGUAGU